This 390-nucleotide ribosomal RNA is filed under the name uncultured bacterium. RNAcentral's name for it is "bacterial SSU rRNA". It matches the Rfam family "Bacterial small subunit ribosomal RNA", at positions 29 to 417 of the family's 1533-position model. The record is from RNAcentral.
AUUGAACGCUGGCGGCAUGCUUUACACAUGCAAGUCGAACGGUAACGCGGGGGCAACCCUGGCGACGAGUGGCGAACGGGUGAGUAAUACAUCGGAACAUGUCCUGGAGUGGGGGAUAGCUCGGCGAAAGCCGGAUUAAUACCGCAUACGCUCUGAGGAGGAAAGCGGGGGACCUGGUAACGGGCCUCGCGCUGCGGGAGUGGCCGAUGUCGGAUUAGCUAGUUGGUGAGGUAAAGGCUCACCAAGGCGACGAUCCGUAGCUGGUCUGAGAGGAUGAUCAGCCACACUGGGACUGAGACAUGGCCCAGACUCCUACGGGAGGCAGCAGUGGGGAAUUUUGACAAUGGGGGCAACCCUGAUCCAGCCAUGCCGCGUGAGUGAAGAAGGCCU